This 86-nucleotide ribosomal RNA is filed under the name Microbispora triticiradicis. Its description in RNAcentral is "partial 23S ribosomal RNA". It matches the Rfam family "Bacterial large subunit ribosomal RNA", at positions 2841 to 2925 of the family's 2925-position model. Lineage: Bacteria; Bacillati; Actinomycetota; Actinomycetes; Streptosporangiales; Streptosporangiaceae. RNAcentral also lists the same sequence under 1 other name. The record is from RNAcentral.
UAGACGAUGGGGUUGAUAGGCCGGAAGUGGAAGCGUAGUAAUGCGUGGAGCUGACCGGUACUAAUAGGCCGAGGACUUGACCAUAU